GGGAAUCCCUCCAGCGGCCCAGCCCCGCCUCCCGAGAUGUGGCAGGCCUCCUCCCCGCCCUACACUUUCUACCACCUGCCUUCCGCCUUGCAGGGAGGCUACCACCGGCUCCGGGAAGCCCCUCCCGCAGCCCUGCCGCUCCCCUGACUCAGAAGGAGCUGCUCGACCGACAGAUACCAAGGUCGUCUUUGCGCCGGCGUGCGACCAAUUUAAUACGUCUCCGUUAUGCACAAAAGCGGAGACCGACCGCCCGGCGCGGCUUCGACUCUCGGCGCGCGGAAGCGAUCCCGGGGUCCAGUGGGCCCGCUUUAGCCACGCCUCCGCGGGCGGGAAAAGGCGGGGAAUUCAAAUUAGGAACGGCGUUGGGUGAGCGCGACGAAGCGUCGACAGAAACACAGUUUCUCUUUUAAAAGGUAGAGGAUUUAAAAACCUGCACAGGAGCCUACUGCCUAGUGUGGCUCCCAUACCAAAGUCCGAGAAGCGAGGGAAGUGAGACCUCGAAGGAGGGUGACCUGGCUCACCUUCUUUCUUCGAUGGAAGGCUGCUAGGAGAUCCAUCGCGGGAAGCCCAUACCCCCAUGUGGCGUGUCUCCUGAACCGCGCUUUUUACCUUUUGCCCCGGUAAGACGUUUUCGUAAGCUCAUCAUCGUUCGUGGUACGAGACGGACGUCGCCACGUAGUGAAAAGCCGAGGCUUCACGGCCCCAGAAGGUCUGUGACCUCUCUUUUUUUUACAACCCCUUGAAAGUGUCUGUUGUUGACGCACACCUUCCAAGAGUGGACCGGGCCAAAUGUGGGUGCGGGCUGUAGUCUGCCAACCCCUGAUAUAAAACACCUUUUUGUCUUGUCACGGAGAUGCCUCCCUUCAGGCUUCUUGACAGUCCGCUGCCACAACUAGAGAAAGGCCUUACAUUUACAAGUGGCUGUGGCUCGUGACCAAAGUGGAAACGGAGAGUUCCUGCUCACUUGUGUCUCCCGGGUUUUCCAUCCAUGUUAAUUAAGUACAUUUGUUGAGCACGCACACUGUACACUCUUCCUUAAAUACCUUUGUGUUGGCGGACGUUUCCAGGGUUUCUUCCUUAAACGCGUGGUUCCUGCAGUUUCCCUCCACCUGUCAUCACCAGGACUUUUUAUGUUUUAGGGCAGAUCAGGAUUAAAAUCUCUGCCAGCACUCAAGAGGACUCAUGAUUAUAACAACUGAAUGAAUCUAGGGGCGCCUGGGUGGCUCAGUCAGUUAAGCAUCCAACUCCUGGUCUCGGCUAGGUCAUGAACCCUCGGUUGUGGGAAUCGUGAACGCUGAUUGAUCCACUUUCCUCAGAAAGUGGAUGGGAACGAGAGGACCCGUCAAUCGCAAAGACGCAAAACCAACCAGCCAAGAGGAAGGGUCCCCUUAAUUCUGUGGGAGGAAGCAGAGCAAGACAGCUGAGGAUGUUGGGAGGUGGGGCCUCGGCAGCCUGGAUCUCUUUGGAUGUAAAAUACGAUAAGUAACACCUUCUCUUUGGGAUUGUUGGAAGACCAAAAGGACAAUGUGGGGAUUUGCCGUCCCGGCCCACGGUGGGUGCCCAAGUUCCUGGAGCCUUCCGGUCACUUACAAUUCAAACAAAAGAAACACCAAAAAGUUAGCUCGUGUGUCAUGGGCUCCUUUUCUCUGUCUCGGCACCAGAAGGUUCUAGAAACCGUUUGCAGACUCUCCUCAGGGACUCAGAAGUCAUCAAGUGCCGUCGCCGAGCACUUCUCAAACGGUCCCGUACGCACACGCACACGCACACGCGCACGCGCGCACACACACACACACACACGCCAGGAGAGUCUUGUUAAGAAGCCCGUGGUCCUGCGUUUCCAGCAUGCUCGCGGGACCCCAAUGCUGCUGAUCUGGAGACCUCGCUUUGAGCAGCGAGACGGUGGGUGGCCUCUGAACCUGACAGUCCGUGGGCUAUUAUUCCAUAUAGGAUGCCGGGACGGCUGGGUAGCCAUCCAGAAAAAGUAACGUCAGACUUAUACUCCCAAUUCCCAUACUAGGACUGAUACGAAGAAGUGUGAUCUGUGCUCGAGGUGGAAAUGCAAAAUGAUGAACAAUUUAAAGGACAACGGGCAAAGAAUAGAGACGCUCAGUAACUUGACCAAACUCACAAGAAGCCGGUGCGUGAACUGGAAUGAGAAACCAUUAAUUUGCAAUGGGAAAUACUCCUUUGCGAUGACAGAACAUGCAUGUCUGCCAUCCCAGGCACCUCACUGCACAGAUCAAGAUGCCCCUGAAGUUCCGUGAGGGAGCCCGGUGGGGCGCCUGGCUGGCUCCGUCAGAAGAGCAUGGGACUCUCGAUGAUCUCAGGGUCGUGAGUUCAGACCCCAUGUUGGGCGUGGAGCUUACUUUAAAUAAAUAAAUAAAUAAAUAAAUAAAUAAAUAAAUAAAUAAAUAAAUAAGCAAGCGAGCACGCACGCACAAGAUGACCAGAUAAACGUGGAAGCGAGCAGAAAGUUGGUAGAACGCAGUGAGGGUCAUAAUUACCACAAGCCAGGAGGUCUGCUGGUCACCUUCCAUAUGUAGAGAUCACAUUAUAUAAUAUUUAUUCAUUCAUUUAUUCGACCAAAUAUACGAAGUGUCCAGUAUAUGCCAGGUACUGUCCUAAGCACUGGAAAUAUAACUGUGGACUAUGGAAUAAAGAACAAAAACAAACAACAAACAAAAAACA
Leopardus geoffroyi (Geoffroy's cat) is the source of this 2688-nucleotide long non-coding RNA. RefSeq lists it as uncharacterized. The record is from RefSeq and is a predicted model, not a curated record. The transcript has 7 exons. NCBI's taxonomy places the organism in Eukaryota, Metazoa, Chordata, Mammalia, Carnivora, Felidae.